GAGUUUGAUCCUGGUUCAGAACAAACGCUGGCGGCGUGUCUUAAGCAUGCAAGUCGAGCGGCAGGCGCAGCAAUGCGCUGAGAGCGGCGGACUGGUGAGUAACGCGUGGGUAAUCUACCUUUGGCAUGGGGAUAGCCACUAGAGAUAGUGGGUAAUACCGAAUACGUUCCCUGGGGGGAGGUUUCAGGGAAGAAAGGGUGCUACGGCACCGGCCAAAGAUGAGCUCGCGUCCCAUUAGCUAGUUGGUGAGGUAACGGCCCACCAAGGCGAUGAUGGGUAGCCGGCCUGAGAGGGUGUACGGCCACACUGGGACUGAGAUACGGCCCAGACUCCUACGGGAGGCAGCAGCUAAGAAUAUUCCGCAAUGGACGAAAGUCUGACGGAGCGACGCCGCGUGGAUGAUGAAGGCCGAAAGGUUGUAAAGUCCUUUUGCUGGGGAAGAAUAAGUGUGGGAGGGAAUGCCCGCAUGAUGACAUAACCGGCGAAUAAGCCC
This 493-nucleotide ribosomal RNA is filed under the name uncultured bacterium. RNAcentral describes it as "bacterial SSU rRNA". It matches the Rfam family "Bacterial small subunit ribosomal RNA", at positions 9 to 493 of the family's 1533-position model. The record is from RNAcentral.